RNAcentral lists this non-coding RNA (29 nucleotides) under Mus musculus (house mouse). Lineage: Eukaryota; Metazoa; Chordata; Mammalia; Rodentia; Muridae. The record is from RNAcentral.
UNUAUUUAAUGCCUGAUUUCUUAAUACAC